Perognathus longimembris pacificus (Pacific pocket mouse) is the source of this 450-nucleotide long non-coding RNA. RefSeq lists it as uncharacterized. NCBI's taxonomy places the organism in Eukaryota, Metazoa, Chordata, Mammalia, Rodentia, Heteromyidae. The record is from RefSeq and is a predicted model, not a curated record. The transcript has 3 exons.
ACCUAUCUCGUAUAUCUUUCCCCUUCCCCUCUCCCCUUCUCCAGCCCUUCUCUUUCCCCAGACUUGAGAAGUCUCUUAUCUUCAUGGAUGGUCCAUUUCCUCUAUCAUAUCCUUAUGGACAGAUUCAGGCUGCAUAUUCACAUUGACUUACUCUGAGGAAGCUCUUAUUAUUGUCAUCCUCAUGAUUUAUUAGAUGAACCUAAUUAGAGAUGCUGCUCAGCUGAUGGCACUUGAGGAUGUACUUGUGGUCUGGUUCAUAAUGAGUUCUUGCCACCAGUCAGCCUGUAGAUGAGGAGGAAGUGGGCAGGGUCCUCUUAGCUACUGAUGAAAUAUUUCAGGGAGAUUAGGUCCACCUUAAUUAUAUAAUCAGGGAAUAUGGGAAGAGUGGAUUCCCCGUAUUUUAAUCAGAAGCAUCUUUUGAUUAGAGAAUUAGAGAGAGAGAGAGAGAGA